UACGGAGGAUCCAAGCGUUAUCCGGAUUUAUUGGGUUUAAAGGGUGCGUAGGCGGCUUAUUAAGUCAGUGGUGAAAGCCUGUAGCUUAACUACAGAACUGCCAUUGAUACUGAUGAGCUUGAAUAUACUUGAGGUUGGCGGAAUGUGUCAUGUGGCGGUGAAAUGCUUAGAUAUGACACAGAACACCGAUUGCGAAGGCAGCUAGCUAAAGUACAAUUGACGCUGAUGCACGAAAGCGUGGGGAGCAAACAGG
RNAcentral lists this ribosomal RNA (253 nucleotides) under uncultured bacterium. Its description in RNAcentral is "partial 16S ribosomal RNA". It matches the Rfam family "Bacterial small subunit ribosomal RNA", at positions 524 to 776 of the family's 1533-position model. The record is from RNAcentral.